RNAcentral lists this small nuclear RNA (322 nucleotides) under Meriones unguiculatus (Mongolian gerbil). RNAcentral's name for it is "7SK RNA (ENSMUGG00000008886.1)". It matches the Rfam family "7SK RNA". Rfam says of the family: 7SK was discovered as an abundant small nuclear RNA in the mid-70s but a possible function has only recently been suggested. Two independent studies have found that 7SK RNA binds the CDK9/cyclin T complex (known as elongation factor P-TEFb). Lineage: Eukaryota; Metazoa; Chordata; Mammalia; Rodentia; Muridae. The record is from RNAcentral.
GGACAGGAGGGUGAGCUAGUUGCCACGUCUGUCCCCCAUUGAUUGUCAGAGCUAAUCUGGCUGACCUGGCCGCCUAGGUGAGCGUCCCUUCCUCUGUCGCCACCCUGGGUGUCCUUCCCAAAGCUAUGUGUUUAGUAGAAGAGGAUGUCUUUCCCUGAUAGAAGAGGGCUGCUCUUUGGUCAAGGCUCUAUGAGUCACAGCAUUCCCCUGCUAGACUCUCCAAACAAGCCCUCAAAAAUCCCACAGCAAAUAACACACUUGGCAAAAAUAUUAAAUGCUUUGUCCCCAUAAUGAGACCAAGAAAGGAUGACUCCUCUUCUUG